UGGCGUGUCAGCACGGGUGGCACGAGAAGAAUACACGCUCACCAUGUGGACACCAGAGAAUAUUCAGCUGUUAAUCAACAAUCACCAGAUACCCUCUAUAUUGUAACCUUGAGAAAUUUUAAAAAAGAUCCAGUAUCUUGUACCUUUUUCAAAUCAGCACAAGCCAGUCAAGGUAAAAAUAGGAA
Molecule: long non-coding RNA, 185 nt
Organism: Haliotis rubra (blacklip abalone)
Lineage: Eukaryota; Metazoa; Mollusca; Gastropoda; Lepetellida; Haliotidae
Exons: 3
Source: RefSeq, a predicted model, not a curated record